This 442-nucleotide ribosomal RNA is filed under the name uncultured bacterium. Its description in RNAcentral is "SSU rRNA". It matches the Rfam family "Bacterial small subunit ribosomal RNA", at positions 26 to 518 of the family's 1533-position model. The record is from RNAcentral.
AGAGCGAACGCUGGCGGCAGGCCUAAUACAUGCAAGUCGAACGCACCUUCGGGUGAGUGGCGGACGGGUGAGUAACACGUGGGAACGUGCCCUUUGGUUCGGAAUAAUCCGGGGAAACCUGGCCUAAUACCGGAUGAGCCCUUCGGGGGAAAGAUUUAUCGCCAUUGGAGCGGCCCGCGUCUGAUUAGCUAGUUGGUGGGGUAAAGGCCCACCAAGGCUACGAUCAGUAGCUGGUCUGAGAGGAUGAUCAGCCACACUGGGACUGAGACACGGCCCAGACUCCUACGGGAGGCAGCAGUAGGGAAUCUUGCGCAAUGGGGGAAACCCUGACGCAGCCAUGCCGCGUGAAUGAUGAAGGUCUAGGAUUGUAAAAUUCUUUCAGCGGGAAGAUAAUGACUGUACCCGCAGAAGAAGCUCCGGCUAACUUCGCGCCAGCAGCCGC